CAGUCGCCGCGGUAAUACGUAGGUGGCAAGCGUUGUCCGGAAUUAUUGGGCGUAAAGCGCGCGCAGGCGGAUAGGUCAGUCAGUCUUAAAAGUUCGGGGCUUAACCCCGUGAUGGGAUGGAAACUGCCAAUCUAGAGUAUCGGAGAGGAAAGUGGAAUUCCUAGUGUAGCGGUGAAAUGCGUAGAUAUUAGGAAGAACACCAGUGGCGAAGGCGACUUUCUGGACGAAAACUGACGCUGAGGCGCGAAAGCCAGGGGAGCGAACGGGAUUAGAUACCCCGGUAGUCCCUGUCUCUUAUACA
RNAcentral lists this ribosomal RNA (301 nucleotides) under uncultured bacterium. RNAcentral describes it as "partial 16S ribosomal RNA". It matches the Rfam family "Bacterial small subunit ribosomal RNA", at positions 509 to 809 of the family's 1533-position model. The record is from RNAcentral.